UACGAAGGGGGCUAGCGUUGUUCGGAUUUACUGGGCGUAAAGCGCACGUAGGCGGAUCGUUAAGUCGGGGGUGAAAUCCUGGAGCUCAACUCCAGAACUGCCUUCGAUACUGGACGGCUCGAGACCGGAAGAGGUCAGUGGAACUGCGAGUGUAGAGGUGAAAUUCGUAGAUAUUCGCAAGAACACCAGUGGCGAAGGCGGCUGACUGGUCCGGUUCUGACGCUGAGGCGCGAAAGCGUGGGGAGCAAACGG
This 252-nucleotide ribosomal RNA is filed under the name uncultured bacterium. RNAcentral's name for it is "partial 16S ribosomal RNA". It matches the Rfam family "Bacterial small subunit ribosomal RNA", at positions 524 to 775 of the family's 1533-position model. The record is from RNAcentral.